GAUGAACGCUGGCGGCGUGCCUAAUACAUGCAAGUCGAGCGAACAGACGAGGAGCUUGCUCCUCUGACGUUAGCGGCGGACGGGUGAGUAACACGUGGAUAACCUACCUAUAAGACUGGGAUAACUUCGGGAAACCGGAGCUAAUACCGGAUAAUAUAUUGCACCGCAUGGUUCAAUAGUGAAAGACGGUUUUGCUGUCACUUAUAGCUGGAUCCGCGCCGCAUUAGCGAGUUGGUAAGGUAACGGCUUACCAAGGCAACGAUGCGUAGCCGACCUGAGAGGGUGAUCGGCCACACUGGAACUGAGACACGGUCCAGACUCCUACGGGAGGCAGCAGUAGGGAAUCUUCCGCAAUGGGCGAAAUCCUGACGGAGCAACGCCGCGUGAGUGAUGAAGGUCUUCGGAUCGUAAAACUCUGUUAUUAGGGAAGAACAAAUGUGUAAGUAACUAUGCACGUCUUGACGGUACCUAAUCAGAAAGCCACGGCUAACUACGUG
This 497-nucleotide ribosomal RNA is filed under the name uncultured bacterium. RNAcentral describes it as "partial 16S ribosomal RNA". It matches the Rfam family "Bacterial small subunit ribosomal RNA", at positions 28 to 507 of the family's 1533-position model. The record is from RNAcentral.